GAGGGCUAUGGACCUGAUGGACCUCUGAGUCUGAUCGGAAGCUGAUGUUGGUGUAUUCCGAUCGGACUCGGAGGUCCAUC
RNAcentral lists this microRNA precursor (80 nucleotides) under Electrophorus electricus (electric eel). RNAcentral's name for it is "microRNA eel-mir-11063 precursor". Lineage: Eukaryota; Metazoa; Chordata; Actinopteri; Gymnotiformes; Gymnotidae. The record is from miRBase by way of RNAcentral.